GGGGAUAUAGCUCAGUAGGUAGAGUGCUUGCCUAACAUGCAAGAGGCCCUGGGUUCAAUCCCCAGCACCA
RNAcentral lists this transfer RNA (70 nucleotides) under Ictidomys tridecemlineatus (thirteen-lined ground squirrel). RNAcentral's name for it is "Spermophilus tridecemlineatus (thirteen-lined ground squirrel) tRNA". It matches the Rfam family "tRNA". Rfam says of the family: Transfer RNA (tRNA) molecules are approximately 80 nucleotides in length. Their secondary structure includes four short double-helical elements and three loops (D, anti-codon, and T loops). Further hydrogen bonds mediate the characteristic L-shaped molecular structure. tRNAs have two regions of fundamental functional importance: the anti-codon, which is responsible for specific mRNA codon recognition, and the 3' end, to which the tRNAs corresponding amino acid is attached (by aminoacyl-tRNA synthetases). tRNAs cope with the degeneracy of the genetic code in two manners: having more than one tRNA (with a specific anti-codon) for a particular amino acid; and 'wobble' base-pairing, i.e. permitting non-standard base-pairing at the 3rd anti-codon position. The record is from Rfam by way of RNAcentral. Lineage: Eukaryota; Metazoa; Chordata; Mammalia; Rodentia; Sciuridae.